AUGGAGGCAGCAGUGGGGAAUAUUGGACAAUGGGGGGAACCCUGAUCCAGCAAUGCCGCGUGUGUGAAGAAGGCCUGAGGGUUGUAAAGCACUUUCAGCGGGGAGGAGGAUUGACUGGUUAAGAGCUGGUUAAUUGGACGUUACCCGCAGAAGAAGCACCGGCUAACUCCGUGCCAGCAGCCGCGGUAAUACGGAGGGUGCGAGCGUUAAUCGGAAUUACUGGGCGUAAGGGGUGCGUAGGUGGUUUAACAAGUUAUCCGUAAAAGCCCUGGGCUCAACCUGGGAAGGCCAGAUAAAACUGUUAGACUAGAGUAUGGGAGAGGGUAGUGGAAUUUCCGGUGUAGCGGUGAAAUGCGUAGAGAUCGGAAGGAACACCAGUGGCGAAGGCGGCUACCUGGCCUGAUACUGACACUGAAGCACGAAAGCGUGGGGAGCAAACAGGAUUAGAUACCCCGGUAGC
Molecule: ribosomal RNA, 460 nt
Filed under: uncultured bacterium
Lineage: Bacteria
Description: bacterial SSU rRNA
Rfam family: Bacterial small subunit ribosomal RNA
Source: RNAcentral